Molecule: ribosomal RNA, 416 nt
Filed under: uncultured Gammaproteobacteria bacterium
Lineage: Bacteria; Pseudomonadati; Pseudomonadota; Gammaproteobacteria
Description: bacterial SSU rRNA
Rfam family: Bacterial small subunit ribosomal RNA
Source: RNAcentral
GAGUUUGAUCCUGGCUCAGAGUGAACGCUGGCGGCAGGCCUAACACAUGCAAGUCGAACGGCAGCACAGCCUCGCAAGAGGUGGGUGGCGAGUGGCGGACGGGUGAGGAAUACAUCGGAAUCUACCUUGUCGUGGGGGAUAACGUAGGGAAACUUACGCUAAUACCGCAUACGACCUACGGGUGAAAGCGGCGGACCGCAAGGCGUCGCGCGAUUGGAUGAGCCGAUGUCCGAUUAGCUAGUUGGCGGGGUAAAGGCCCACCAAGGCGACGAUCGGUAGCUGGUCUGAGAGGAUGAUCAGCCACACUGGAACUGAGACACGGUCCAGACUCCUACGGGAGGCAGCAGUGGGGAAUAUUGGACAAUGGGCGCAAGCCUGAUCCAGCCAUGCCGCGUGUGUGAAGAAAGGCCUCGUUG